This 504-nucleotide ribosomal RNA is filed under the name uncultured bacterium. RNAcentral's name for it is "partial 16S ribosomal RNA". It matches the Rfam family "Bacterial small subunit ribosomal RNA", at positions 29 to 523 of the family's 1533-position model. The record is from RNAcentral.
AUUGAACGCUGGCGGCACGCCUAACACAUGCAAGUCGAGCGGCAGCAUGCUUAGUAGCAAUACUAAGUGAUGGCGAGCGGCGGACGGGUGAGGAACACGUAGGAACCUGCCCAAGAGAGGGGGAUAACUAAGGGAAACUUUAGCUAAUACCGCAUAAUCUCUGAGGAGAAAAGCUGCCCGUAAGGGUAGCGCUUUUGGAGGGGCCUGCGUCCGAUUAGCUAGUUGGUGAGGUAAAAGCUCACCAAGGCGAUGAUCGGUAACUGGUCUGAGAGGACGACCAGUCACACUGGGACUGAGACACGGCCCAGACUCCUACGGGAGGCAGCAGUGGGGAAUCUUGGACAAUGGGGGCAACCCUGAUCCAGCGAUGCCGCGUGGGUGAAGAAGGCCUUCGGGUUGUAAAGCCCUUUAGGCUGGGAAGAAGUGUGCGGGAUGAAUAAUCCUGUACAUUGACGGUACCAGCAGAAUAAGCACCGGCAAACCCUGUGCCAGCCGCCGCAGUAA